This is an RNA transcript of Etheostoma spectabile (orangethroat darter), 2428 nucleotides long. It is a transcript of the gene named kit ligand a, with no coding region annotated. The transcript is spliced from 11 exons. Lineage: Eukaryota; Metazoa; Chordata; Actinopteri; Perciformes; Percidae. The record is from RefSeq and is a predicted model, not a curated record.
UCCCUCAGCGCGCUGUCCCUGCGAGCCCUCAGUGCUGGAUCUAUGUCGUUUAGAUGGGCUAGAUGCAGAUGCCACACGCCAUUAGCCCACAGGUUGGAACGGCAGAAAGUUUGAUUUCACAUUUGUUCGCCGCGUUUCCUCCUCCUCUCCUUCUUCCUUUUCUUCUUCUCCCUUUCUUCUUCUCCUUCUUCUUCUUCUUCUUCUUCUCCUCCUCUGCUUGGAUACCGCUGACUUAGGCAUUGGAUAUGUGCACACAGGAUGAUGACAACCCCUUUCCUCCCCGUAGAAGUAAAAUAAAAUAGGCUUUCGCACACACUGGAUUUACUCUUCUCGUUCCAUAUGAAGAAGCCAAAAAUUUGGAUACUGGUCUGUGUCCAUUUACUGCUGUUCAUCACGUUUGGGGUACAUUCAAGUAAAUUUGACGUCAACCCAGUGACGGAUGACAUCUCUAGACUUUCUAUUCUGAGACAAAAUAUUCCUAAAGAUUACAAAAUUCCUGUACACUACAUUCCAAAAGAAGAGGGAGGGAUGUGUUGGGUAAAAUUAAACGUCUUCUACUUGGAGGAGAGUUUGAAAGAUUUAGCACAUAAGUUUGGAAAUAUUUCAUCCAACAGAAGAGAUAUUAGCAUAUUCAACCAAAUGCUCGAAGAACUGCGGCUCAACAUGGGGUCUGUGGAGCCGAUCAUGUAUGAUUUUGAGUGCCACUACAGAAAAGACAGGUGGCAGACAGUGCGGUACUUUGACUUUGUCAAAGACUUCCUUAUAGCUGCACAGAAUAAAGAAGAAUCAGAUGACUGUGAUCCUCCUCCCUGUCCUACAACACAAGACACAGUAACAACAGAAUAUUCAACAGAUUCACCACUGCCCACCAAUAAAGGCACAACGUGUGCAGGCUGCACUACAGGUGAAACGAGCGCCCUGACUGAGGUGGUGGAGCGAAGCCUUCUCUCUUUACUUUUCAUUCCACUCCUAGCGCUCGUAUUCCUGCUCGUGUGGAAGGUCCGAUCACGGAGGGAUGAAGUGGAUCUUCAGCAGAAUCCGGAUGAAGGCGGACGCUUCACAGGAACAGAAGCGACUGCAGCUCCACUAGAUGCUGAAAUAUCAGAAAAAAACAAGUUGAACGUCAUUGAAAUAGUGUAACGCUUCCACCCUUCCAUGUUCUUCAGCGUAAUUGGGUUCUUCUCUUUCCUCCUACUGGUGUCCAAAGGUGAUGAAAAACAAACAUUAAGCUGAAAGGUAAAAGGCGCUUCCUGACUACGAUUAACGAGAGGGCAAAUUCACAAUUGCCCCGGCCGAGAGGCUUCCCGAUGAACGACGCCUCCCACUGAUGGAUGAGCUUGCGUUGCUGCGCAGACCCCAUACUUUUGAAAAAGACAGUGAGAUUUUUUGCAGCGAUAAACCUGCCCUUGCCACACCCCCACCCACUGGAUUCUCUGGCUCCUGCUAAUCAUCCAUCAACCCCCGUGAUGCAUUCUGAACUCUUGGAGUAAAAACAUCCCCCUUCUGCAGGUUGCUCCAUCCGCCUGUGUUUUUGGGCCCACCAGUUCAUCAUCAGACAGUGAAGCGAAGAGUUACUGACACUGGUUAUCUCUUGGAUGAACUGAGGCACAAAUUACUACCUCUGGUGACCCUCAUGCUAACCGCAUCUUCAACCGCUCUACAGUUUCUUCAUAGUCAAAAACUUUCCUAAAGAAUAUAAUGUUAAGCAUUGUAGUUCCAAGGCAUAGUCCCAUGGUUUGGUUAAGGCAUGUACCCAUGUACUUCUACUAAAGGGUCACAUUUAAAGAACAAUCUAUAUUCAAACACGUCGUAAUCCCGACAAACACAGAACAGGUUACAUUUCCUCAUAUGUUGUUGUUGCCGCCGUUGUCGUUGUUGUUGUUGUUGUUGUUGUUGUUGUCGUCGGUAUAUAUGACUCGGCUGAUAUAGGUUGUACGAAUGAAUUACAUGGAGAACAAAACGCAUAUAUACAAAAUCUGGUGCUUUGACUGACGUUUAGAGCAUUGAAACCGGCAAUGACAUUCUGCUAACAAGUAUCAGGGAUGACUUCUGUGGAUCCAGGGAUUUUCUAAAACAAGGUGAAUUCAAAAAGUAGUUAGACGCAUGGAAGACAAUGAUGGGCCUCCCAUAGUAAAUGUUAGCUUUGCAAUGCCUUUAUUUUUACUUUUUUACUCAUGUCACCUUUUAUGCUCGCAUAGCAAAAACUGUUACAGAGAUUUGUUGACGUCCAUUCCUCUACAAAAGGAAAAGAAACUAUAUUUCCAUGUUUGUAAAAAAAAGAGAACGGAUUAAAUAAGAUUGAAUAUACAAAUGCUAUAUAAUAUAACAUUUUUAAUCAAGUUAUCAAUUCUUUAUUGUUCACUCAACGACGAAAUAUAUUUAUAUUGCUGACUUUGCCUUUGGUAUCAGUGUUGUGCUUGUAUAAUAA